GAGUGGUUAUGAUAAAGUCACAUUGAAUAUGCCACGGAAGCCUAUCCCUUGUCCGGCUUCGGGUCUUCAGGCACUCGGUCUCCACCCUGGAGGGUGGUGGAGGGUGGGGGUGGGGACAGUCUUUUUUGGCUCACAAAACACAGCCCACACAAGUAAAGGACUUGCUGUUUCUGAGCAGUGCCUGUGUGUGGUUAGGCACAGGUUCAGUAAGCACACGCUGGGGACCUGGAGUAAGGGUGAAGGCCAGCAAGCUCGGGGAGUUCGUGCAAGCACAGGCACGUCCUACUAAGCGAAACAAGGCAGGGCAUGGCCGCCAGAGAACUUUCAGUUACAGGUGUGAACUCUGUAAGGACAGCACCCUCCAGGGAAGGGCCACAGUCACAAUUAGCGACAGUUUUUUAAGACCAGUGUGGAACAAAAGCUGAAAUGGGGUAAAUCAGAGCAAAGAGAGAAAGAGGAGGGAGCUAGAGGAUGCCUUUCAUAGCCAGAUUAAAGAACUCAGGUGAAAUGUCACCCAAGUCUCAAGAAUAAAAAAAAAAAAAAAAAA
This 547-nucleotide long non-coding RNA is filed under the name Rattus norvegicus (Norway rat). Its description in RNAcentral is "long non-coding RNA NONRATT030388". The record is from RNAcentral. Lineage: Eukaryota; Metazoa; Chordata; Mammalia; Rodentia; Muridae.